Molecule: long non-coding RNA, 794 nt
Organism: Spinacia oleracea (spinach)
Lineage: Eukaryota; Viridiplantae; Streptophyta; Magnoliopsida; Caryophyllales; Amaranthaceae
Exons: 3
Source: RefSeq, a predicted model, not a curated record
ACAUGGCAGUCAAAUUCCUUAUACCCUAAUUCUCAUUACUAGAUUUCGCCCAGGAACCUCAAUUUCUCGCUCUAACCGAAUAGAUCUGUUCAUUUUUGGUUUCAUUUCGCAUUAUUGAGUCGGCGAUUCCAAUUUUCCUUUAGCAGAUUGUGAAGAAAAGUGUGAAAUUCGCUCUCCAUAUUCGAGGAUCUUGAACUUUUUUGAGUCAGGUUGUUCUAAAUGGCACCAGUUGGAAGAAAGGCUACAUUUCUUGCACCUGGGAGUCCUGGUUUAAGGCGUAGUUUAGGGUUGAAAGUUCAUUCCUUCCUGGAGUAAAAAUAUAAAUCACCCUCAAACACUACGACAAGCAAUGAUAAUCAAGAUGCAAAUGUUCCUGAGGAACUAUCAGUGAAGCACCCAUGGAAGAGGAGAUGUCACAUGCAAGUCUCCUUCAAUCUCUUCGUGAGGACGUCGGAAAUGAUGACAAUGAUAUGUUACAAAGAUUCAUAAUAAUGCAACCCUUUCUAACUUCCUUGAGGAGCAAAAAUGCUUCACAAGAUGCCUCAACGAUCAAGAUGAAGGUACUUCAUGACUAAUGGGGCAUUAUUCAGCAUAAUAGUUCAAGGCUUAACAUGGAGAUUGGUUGUAUCUUCCAUCUAAUUGUAGCUUGUAAUACUUUUGGCAUACUCUAAUAUUAGCUUGUGAAUGUGAUGGGGUUUGUUUUUUUCAUUAGUGAGCACAAUAUAUCCCUUUGUAGGUAAUGUACUGUAAUCGACUUAUUUUUGUUAAAUGAAAAUUAGUGUUUGAGGUUAUUA